AUUAGCUAGUUGGUGAGAUAAGAGCCCACCAAGGCGACGAUCAGUAGCCGAUCUGAGAGGAUGACCGGCCACACUGGAACUGAGACACGGUCCAGACUCCUACGGGAGGCAGCAGUGGGGAAUAUUGCACAAUGGGGGGAACCCUGAUGCAGCAACGCCGCGUGGAGGAAGAAGGUUUUCGGAUUGUAAACUCCUGUCUUUUGGGAAGAUAACGACGGUACCAAAAGAGGAAGCCACGGCUAACUACGUGCCAGCAGCCGCGGUAAUACGUAGGUGGCGAGCGUUGUCCGGAAUUACUGGGCGUAAAGGGCGCGUAGGCGGUCCUUCAAGUCAGGUGUGAAACCCCAAGGCUUAACCUUGGGCUUGCACAUGAAACUGAAGGGCUCGAGUGUCGGAGAGGAAAGCGGAAUUCCUAGUGUAGCGGUGAAAUGCGUAGAUAUUAGGAGGAACACCAGUGGCGAAGGCGGCUUUCUGGACGAUAACUGACGCUGAGGCGCGAAAGCGUGGGGAGCAAACAGGAUUAGAUACCCUGGUAGUCCACGCUGUAAACGAUGGAUACUAGGUGUGGGAGGUAUCGAACCCUUCCGUGCCGCAGUAAACGCAUUAA
This 607-nucleotide ribosomal RNA is filed under the name uncultured bacterium. Its description in RNAcentral is "bacterial SSU rRNA". It matches the Rfam family "Bacterial small subunit ribosomal RNA", at positions 240 to 863 of the family's 1533-position model. The record is from RNAcentral.